Molecule: ribosomal RNA, 490 nt
Filed under: uncultured bacterium
Lineage: Bacteria
Description: partial 16S ribosomal RNA
Rfam family: Bacterial small subunit ribosomal RNA
Source: RNAcentral
AUUGAACGCUGGCGGCAGGCCUAACACAUGCAAGUCGAACGGUAACAGGAAGAAGCUUGCUUCUUUGCUGACGAGUGGCGGACGGGUGAGUAAUGUCUGGGAAACUGCCUGAUGGAGGGGGAUAACUACUGGAAACGGUAGCUAAUACCGCAUAACGUCGCAAGGCCAAAGAGGGGGACCUUCGGGCCUCUUGCCAUCGGAUGUGCCCAGAUGGGAUUAGCUAGUAGGUGGGGUAACGGCUCACCUAGGCGACGGUCCCUAGCUGGUCUGAGAGGGUGACCCGCCAGACUGGAACUGAGACACGGUCCAGACUCCUACGGGAGGCAGCAGUGGGGAAUAUUGCACAAUGGGCGCAAGCCUGAUGCAGCCAUGCCGCGUGUAUGAAGAAGGCCUUCGGGUUGUAAAGUACUUUCAGCGGGGAGGAAGGGAGUAAAGUUAAUACCUGUGCUCAUUGACGUUACCCGAAGAAGAAGCCCCGGCUAACUCCGUG